GAAGGUCAUGAUACUUCUGACUACCACAUGAGAUGCAUCAACGUCAUCUCUGGUCAUUGCAAAGAAUCUCGGUGUUCUACCCGCUUCUUGAAUACCUUGUGCACAUUAUAGCAGUUCCUUGUGGAUGUGUAGCAUCCUGACUAUUCCCAAAAUUACCAUUUGGAGCAAUAUGUCCUUUUUCACCACAUGUAAAACAAGCACCAGUAAUAACAAAACAAUGUCCAUAGUGGUUCCUACCACAUGCAUUGUAUCUCAGAUACUGUCCAAAUUGAAACUAACCAUUAUCCUUCACCUGUGUCUGUUGAUGACCUUGACUUAAUCAAAACGUACUCCCAGAAGACUGCACCACUAAAUCGGACUAUGUAGCCCCGGACUGCUCACGGUUAAAAACACUCUUGCCGCGAAACGGAGCUCCACUAAAUUAGCAUACGCUACAAUUCCUUUUUGCUUUCUUGCUUGGUCAUGUCCCUCUCUUGAUAAGACUCAUAACGGAGAGCAGUAUCCACUACCUCUUCGUACGAACCACCUC
RNAcentral lists this long non-coding RNA (529 nucleotides) under Nicotiana benthamiana. RNAcentral's name for it is "long non-coding RNA (NBEN_LNC002593)". The record is from RNAcentral. Lineage: Eukaryota; Viridiplantae; Streptophyta; Magnoliopsida; Solanales; Solanaceae.